GAUGAACGCUGGCGGCGUGCCUAAUACAUGCAAGUCGAGCAAAUGGAUUAAGAGCUUGCUCUUAUGAAGUUAGCGGCGGACGGGUGAGUAACACGUGAGUAACCUGCCCAUAAGACUGGGAUAACUCCGGGAAACCGGGGCUAAUACCGGCUAACAUUUUGAACCGCAUGGUUCGAAAUUGAAAGGCGGCUUCGGCUGUCACUUAUGGAUUGACCCGCGUCGCAUUAGCUAGUUGGUGAGGUAACGGCUCACCAAGGCAACGAUGCGUAGCCGACCUGAGAGGGUGAUCGGCCACACUGGAACUGAGACACGGCCCAGACUCCUACGGGAGGCAGCAGUAGGGAAUCUUCCGCAAUGGACGAAAGUCUGACGGAGCAACGCCGCGUGAGUGAUGAAGGCUUUCGGGUCGUAAAACUCUGUUGUUAGGGAAGAACAAGUGCUAGUUGAAUAAGCUGGCACCUUGACGGUACCUAACCAGAAAGCCACGGCUAACUACGUGCCAGCCGCCGCGGUAA
This 515-nucleotide ribosomal RNA is filed under the name uncultured bacterium. Its description in RNAcentral is "partial 16S ribosomal RNA". It matches the Rfam family "Bacterial small subunit ribosomal RNA", at positions 28 to 523 of the family's 1533-position model. The record is from RNAcentral.